RNAcentral lists this ribosomal RNA (301 nucleotides) under uncultured bacterium. Its description in RNAcentral is "partial 16S ribosomal RNA". It matches the Rfam family "Bacterial small subunit ribosomal RNA", at positions 509 to 807 of the family's 1533-position model. The record is from RNAcentral.
CAGUCGCCGCGGUAAAACGGAGGGAGCUAGCGUUGUUCGGGAUUACUGGGCGUAAAGCGCACGUAGGCGGCUUUGUAAGUUAGAGGUGAAAGCCUGGAGCUCAACUCCAGAAUUGCCUUUAAGACUGCAUCGCUUGAAUCCGGGAGAGGUGAGUGGAAUUCCGAGUGUAGAGGUGAAAUUCGUAGAUAUUCGGAAGAACACCAGUGGCGAAGGCGGCUCACUGGACCGGCAUUGACGCUGAGGUGCGAAAGCGUGGGGAGCAAACAGGAUUAGAUACCCCGGUAGUCCCUGUCUCUUAUAC